Molecule: ribosomal RNA, 232 nt
Filed under: uncultured Anoxybacillus sp.
Lineage: Bacteria; Bacillati; Bacillota; Bacilli; Caryophanales; Anoxybacillaceae
Description: partial 16S ribosomal RNA
Rfam family: Bacterial small subunit ribosomal RNA
Source: RNAcentral
CCGGCUAAAAGUCGGAGGAAGGUGGGGAUGACGUCAAAUCAUCACUGCCCCUUAUGACCUGGGCUACACACGUGCUACAAUGGGCGGUACAAAGGGUCGCGAACCCGCGAGGGGGAGCCAAUCCCAAAAAGCCGCUCUCAGUUCGGAUUGCAGGCUGCAACUCGCCUGCAUGAAGCCGGAAUCGCUAGUAAUCGCGGAUCAGCACGCCGCGGUGAAUACGUUCCCGGGCCUU